This 450-nucleotide ribosomal RNA is filed under the name uncultured bacterium. RNAcentral's name for it is "partial 16S ribosomal RNA". It matches the Rfam family "Bacterial small subunit ribosomal RNA", at positions 354 to 796 of the family's 1533-position model. The record is from RNAcentral.
GUGGGGAAUCUUCCGCAAUGGACGAAAGUCUGACGGAGCAACGCCGCGUGAGUGAUGACGGCCUUCGGGUUGUAAAACUCUGUUAUACGGGACGAAUGGACGAGAGGCCAAUACCCUUUCGGAGUGACGGUACCGUAAGAGAAAGCCACGGCUAACUACGUGCCAGCAGCCGCGGUAAUACGUAGGUGGCAAGCGUUGUCCGCAAUUAUUGGGCGUAAAGGGCGCGCAGGUGGUUUCUUAAGUCCGUCUUAAAAGUGCGGGGCUUAACCACGUGAGGGGACGGAAACUGGGAGACUAGAGUAUCGGAGAGGAAAGCGGAAUUCCUAGUGUAGCGGUGAAAUGCGUAGAUAUUAGGAGGAACACCAGUGGCGAAAGCGGCUUUCUGGACGACAACUGACACUGAGGCGCGAAAGCCAGGGGAGCAAACGGGAUUAGAUACCCGUGUAGUCC